Molecule: long non-coding RNA, 994 nt
Organism: Carassius gibelio (silver crucian carp)
Lineage: Eukaryota; Metazoa; Chordata; Actinopteri; Cypriniformes; Cyprinidae
Exons: 2
Source: RefSeq, a predicted model, not a curated record
CACACACAGACACACGGGCGCCUUAAAGACACACCCCUUCUGCUGAUUUACCUGUGUGUGUGUGUGUGUGUGUGUGUGUGAUCCCAAACGAUCUCUGUAAACACCGGAAAGAGAUAUUUUUCCUCAGAGCAGCCAAAAACAGAAAACGGUUUGAUCCAGCCGGUCAGAUUUCUGACUGAGAUCUGCGUCUGAAGAUGAUCAUCAGCAUCUCGUGAGGAUGUCAUCAGGAUUAAUGAGACGGACGGAGGGCCUUCAGGAAGUUAGUUUUGGGCAGAUGUUCCUCCGGAGCCGCUUUGGGACAGAAGAACGGAGGGACGAAGUCUUGAGGAUUCUGGACACCCAGCAGAUGAUUGUAGAAGCUGUGAGAUCAAAGACCACAGAGAGACGUCAGUGAAGGAUGAAGAUGGAGUGUGUGUGUGUGUGUGUGUGUGAGGAGAUGCUGGACCUGAAGGUGAUCCAUCCGGUCUGAGGAGUGAAGACCAUGGCGCUGACCGGCAGACACGUGAACUCAGUGAAGGUCAGCAUGUACUGUGCUGAAGAACAGACACACGGAGACCUCAGAACAUGCAUACAGUGAUUCAUUCAGCGAUUCAUUCAGUGAUUCAUUCAGCGAUUCAUUCAGCGAUUCAUUCAGUGAUUCAUACAGCGAUUCAUUCAGUGAUUCAUACAGUGAUUCAUUCAGUGAUUCAUACAGCGAUUCAUUCAGCGAUUCAUACAGUAAUUCAUUCAGCGAUUCAUUCAGCGAUUCAUACAGUAAUUCAUUCAGUGAUUCAUUCAGCAAAGACUGAUUCAAAGCAGCUCCACAGUGAUAAACAGGACAUGAACAGUGUUGAGUCAUUUUUAAUGUUGAGUCAUUUUUCAGAUCAAUAACAGCAGCUCAUAUGAUUCUUUUAUCAGGAGUGUGUUUGUAUUUAGUUGUAUUUAGAGUUUUACUAAAUCACUAUACCUAAGCUUGUUUUCACCACAGAAUAAAAAUUGAAGUAUGUAAUUGUGA